GCCCCUGUAGGCGAAUUGGUAUAGCUACUGGCCUUAGAAGCCAGCGCCGAAAGGCAUUGACGGUUCGAGUCCGUCCAGGGGUA
This 83-nucleotide transfer RNA is filed under the name Xanthomonas phage X1. Its description in RNAcentral is "tRNA-Leu". It matches the Rfam family "tRNA". From Rfam's summary of the family: Transfer RNA (tRNA) molecules are approximately 80 nucleotides in length. RNAcentral also lists the same sequence under 1 other name. The record is from RNAcentral. Lineage: Duplodnaviria; Heunggongvirae; Uroviricota; Caudoviricetes.